UGAGGAAUAUUGGGCAAUGCCCGCAAGGGUGACCCAGCAACGCCGCGUGGAGGAUGAAUGUCGUAAGAUUGUAGACUCCUGUUAGAGGGGAAGAAUAGUACCGGUUGGACCGGUAUAUGACUGUACCCUCAGAGAAAGCCCCGGCUAACUACGUGCCAGCAGCCGCGGUAAUACGUAGGGGGCAAGCGUUGUCCGGAUUUACUGGGUGUAAAGGGCGCGCAGGCGGGAUAAAAAGUCAGUGGUGAAAUCCUACAGCUUAACUGUAGAACUGCCUUUGAUACUUUUAUUCUUGAGUUCGGGAGAGAGAGACGGAAUUCCAGGUGUAGUGGUGAAAUACGUAGAUAUCUGGAAGAACACCAGUUGCGAAGGCGGUCUCUUGGUCCGACACUGACGCUGAGGCGCGAAAGCGUGGGGAGCAAACA
RNAcentral lists this ribosomal RNA (422 nucleotides) under uncultured bacterium. RNAcentral describes it as "bacterial SSU rRNA". It matches the Rfam family "Bacterial small subunit ribosomal RNA", at positions 355 to 774 of the family's 1533-position model. The record is from RNAcentral.